AAUCAGCAGCAGACCCUCCCUCCCACCUCCUGGACAGCUCACUAAGAAUGCAGAUUCAAAAUGGAUGCUGUCCAGGAGGUGGGAGGGAGGGUCUGUUGCUGAUU
This is a non-coding RNA of Pelobates cultripes (western spadefoot toad), 104 nucleotides long. The record is from the annotation of a GenBank genome assembly. NCBI's taxonomy places the organism in Eukaryota, Metazoa, Chordata, Amphibia, Anura, Pelobatidae.